AUGAAAUAUAUAAAAUCUCAGACAUGCUGAGACUUUAACCCCAAUUAAAACGUUUGCUAUUUACAAGCUAGAUUGCAACUGCCCCGCUCAGCACAUCGUGACCAGCCAGAGCUGCAGCAGAGAACUCAUCCACUCAGAUAAAAACCUAAUUGUAUAGUGACCAUCAGAAAAAGAAAAAAACAAACAAACAAACAAAAAACUUUGCAAACUCUUUGCAAACCCAUGCAGAAGAUGGAAAUAAGCCUGCAUGUCAAAAUGUUUAUUCAGUUAAAAAGAGGCAUAGUUAGAUCUGCCUUUAUGGAAUCAUCAUUGUUGCUUUGUUCUACUGAAAACCAUGGAAAUGUCACCCCUCAGAUCAGCUGA
RNAcentral lists this long non-coding RNA (363 nucleotides) under Anas platyrhynchos platyrhynchos (common mallard). RNAcentral's name for it is "lncRNA (ENSAPLG00000023982.1)". The record is from RNAcentral. Lineage: Eukaryota; Metazoa; Chordata; Aves; Anseriformes; Anatidae.